CCUACGGGAGGCAGCAGUGAGGAAUAUUGGUCAAUGGACGAGAGUCUGAACCAGCCAAGUAGCGUGAAGGAUGACUGCCCUAUGGGUUGUAAACUUCUUUUAUAUGGGAAUAAAACGUUCCACGUGUGGGAUUUUGUAUGUACCAUAUGAAUAAGGAUCGGCUAACUCCGUGCCAGCAGCCGCGGUAAUACGGAGGAUCCGAGCGUUAUCCGGAUUUAUUGGGUUUAAAGGGAGCGUAGGUGGAUUGUUAAGUCAGUUGUGAAAGUUUGCGGCUCAACCGUAAAAUUGCAGUUGAUACUGGCAGUCUUGAGUACAGUAGAGGUGGGCGGAAUUCGUGGUGUAGCGGUGAAAUGCUUAGAUAUCACGAAGAACUCCGAUUGCGAAGGCAGUUCACUGAACUGCAACUGACACUGAGGCUCGAAAGUGUGGGUAUCAAACAGGAUUAGAUACCCGUGUAGUC
This 460-nucleotide ribosomal RNA is filed under the name uncultured bacterium. RNAcentral describes it as "partial 16S ribosomal RNA". It matches the Rfam family "Bacterial small subunit ribosomal RNA", at positions 338 to 795 of the family's 1533-position model. The record is from RNAcentral.